UUCUUGCAUAUCCCCAAAGCGGAGGAAAAGAAACCAACAGGGAUUGCCUCAGUAACGGCGAGUGAAGCGGCAACAGCUCAAAUUUGAAAUCUGGCCUCUUGGGGUCCGAGUUGUAAUUUGUAGAGGAUGUUUCGGGUACCGCCUCGGUUUAAAUUUCUUGGAACAGAAUGUCAAAGAGGGUGAGAAUCCCGUCUUGGACCGGCGGUAGGGCCUAUGUGAAACUCCUUCGACGAGUCGAGUUGUUUGGGAAUGCAGCUCAAAAUGGGUGGUAAAUUUCAUCUAAAGCUAAAUAUUGGCCAGAGACCGAUAGCGCACAAGUAGAGUGAUCGAAAGAUGAAAAGCACUUUGAAAAGAGAGUUAAACAGUAUGUGAAAUUGUUGAAAGGGAAGCGCUUGCAACCAGACUUGAGCGCGGCGGUUCCCCCUUGCUUCUGCUUGGGUUACUCCGCCGUGUCCAGGCCAACAUCGGUUCUGGGGGUCGGUCAAAGGCUCUGGGAAUGUAUCUACCCACGGGUAGACUUAUAGACCAGGGUGUCAUGCGACCUCCCGGGACCGAGGAACGCGCUUCGGCUCGGAUGUUGGCGUAAUGGUUGUCAGCGACCCGUCUUGAACCCACGGACCAUA
This 623-nucleotide ribosomal RNA is filed under the name Fonsecaea pedrosoi. Its description in RNAcentral is "partial large subunit ribosomal RNA". It matches the Rfam family "Eukaryotic large subunit ribosomal RNA", at positions 33 to 670 of the family's 3401-position model. The record is from RNAcentral. Lineage: Eukaryota; Fungi; Ascomycota; Eurotiomycetes; Chaetothyriales; Herpotrichiellaceae.